RNAcentral lists this transfer RNA (87 nucleotides) under Planctomycetota bacterium. RNAcentral's name for it is "Planctomycetes bacterium (activated sludge metagenome) tRNA-Leu". It matches the Rfam family "tRNA". From Rfam's summary of the family: Transfer RNA (tRNA) molecules are approximately 80 nucleotides in length. Their secondary structure includes four short double-helical elements and three loops (D, anti-codon, and T loops). Further hydrogen bonds mediate the characteristic L-shaped molecular structure. tRNAs have two regions of fundamental functional importance: the anti-codon, which is responsible for specific mRNA codon recognition, and the 3' end, to which the tRNAs corresponding amino acid is attached (by aminoacyl-tRNA synthetases). tRNAs cope with the degeneracy of the genetic code in two manners: having more than one tRNA (with a specific anti-codon) for a particular amino acid; and 'wobble' base-pairing, i.e. permitting non-standard base-pairing at the 3rd anti-codon position. The record is from RNAcentral. Lineage: Bacteria; Pseudomonadati; Planctomycetota.
GCGAGAGUGGCGGAAUUGGUAGACGCACGGGCUUUAGGUGCCCGCGGGCGCAAGCCUGUCAGGGUUCGAGUCCCUGCUCUCGCACCA